UACGUAGGUGGCAAGCGUUGUCCGGAAUUAUUGGGCGUAAAGCGCGCGCAGGCGGUUCCUUAAGUCUGAUGUGAAAGCCCACGGCUCAACCGUGGAGGGUCAUUGGAGACUGGGGAACUUGAGUGCAGAAGAGGAGAGUGGAAUUCCAAGUGUAGCGGUGAGAUGCGUAGAGAUUUGGAGGAACACCAGUGGCGAAGGCGACUCUCUGGUCUGUAACUGACACUGAGGCGCGAAAGCGUCGGGAGCAAACAGG
Molecule: unclassified non-coding RNA, 253 nt
Filed under: uncultured Bacillaceae bacterium
Lineage: Bacteria; Bacillati; Bacillota; Bacilli; Caryophanales; Bacillaceae
Description: contains 16S-23S intergenic spacer region
Rfam family: Bacterial small subunit ribosomal RNA
Source: RNAcentral